RNAcentral lists this ribosomal RNA (260 nucleotides) under uncultured prokaryote. RNAcentral's name for it is "partial 16S ribosomal RNA". It matches the Rfam family "Bacterial small subunit ribosomal RNA", at positions 524 to 784 of the family's 1533-position model. The record is from RNAcentral.
CACGUAGGGGCGAGCGUUGUCCGGAAUUACUGGGCGUAAAGGGCGCGCAGGCUGUUAUGCGAGUCUGCUGUGAAAUGUACCGGCUCAACCGGUGCCUUGCGGCGGAUACUGCAUAGCUGGAGUACUGGAGAGGGAAGUGGAAUUCCCGGUGUAGCGGUGAAAUGCGUAGAUAUCAUCAGGAACACCGGUGGCGAAAGCGGCUUACUGGGUCUCUUCUGACGCUGAGGCACGAAAGCUAGGGUAGCGAACGUGAUUAGAUA